UGGCAGAAGCUACACCGCGGGCUUCCCACCGC
RNAcentral lists this small RNA (32 nucleotides) under Bombyx mori (domestic silkworm). RNAcentral describes it as "ovarian small RNA-3812". The record is from RNAcentral. Lineage: Eukaryota; Metazoa; Arthropoda; Insecta; Lepidoptera; Bombycidae.